This 254-nucleotide ribosomal RNA is filed under the name uncultured bacterium. RNAcentral describes it as "partial 16S ribosomal RNA". It matches the Rfam family "Bacterial small subunit ribosomal RNA", at positions 524 to 776 of the family's 1533-position model. The record is from RNAcentral.
CACGUAGGGUGCGAGCGUUGUCCGGAAUUAUUGGGCGUAAAGAGCUCGUAGGCGGUGUGUCGCGUCGGCCGUGAAAACCUGCAGCUUAACUGUGGGCUUGCGGUCGAUACGGGCAUCACUGGAGUUCGGCAGGGGAGACUGGAAUUCCUGGUGUAGCGGUGAAAUGCGCAGAUAUCGGGAGGAACACCAGUGGCGAAGGCGGCCUUCUGGACCAAUACUGACGCUCAUACACGAAAGCGUGGGGAGCAAACAGG